RNAcentral lists this ribosomal RNA (492 nucleotides) under uncultured bacterium. RNAcentral describes it as "partial 16S ribosomal RNA". It matches the Rfam family "Bacterial small subunit ribosomal RNA", at positions 29 to 507 of the family's 1533-position model. The record is from RNAcentral.
AGUGAACGCUGGCGGUAGGCCUAACACAUGCAAGUCGAACGGCAGCACCGUAAGAGCUUGCUCUUACGGGUGGCGAGUGGCGGACGGGUGAGGAAUACAUCGGAAUCUACUUUUUCGUGGGGGAUAACGUAGGGAAACUUACGCUAAUACCGCAUACGACCUACGGGUGAAAGCAGGGGAUCUUCGGACCUUGUGCGAUUGAAUGAGCCGAUGUCGGAUUAGCUAGUUGGCGGGGUAAAGGCCCACCAAGGCGACGAUCCGUAGCUGGUCUGAGAGGAUGAUCAGCCACACUGGAACGGAGCCACGGUCCAGACUCCUACGGGAGGCAGCAGUGGGGAAUAUUGGACAAUGGGCGCAAGCCUGAUCCAGCCAUACCGCGUGGGUGAAGAAGGCCUUCGGGUUGUAAAGCCCUUUUGUUGGGAAAGAAAAGCAGCAGGUUAAUACCACGCUGUUCUGACGGUACCCAAAGAAUAAGCACCGGCUAACUUCGUG